Molecule: ribosomal RNA, 389 nt
Filed under: Arphia pseudonietana (red-winged grasshopper)
Lineage: Eukaryota; Metazoa; Arthropoda; Insecta; Orthoptera; Acrididae
Description: partial 16S ribosomal RNA
Source: RNAcentral
UCUUAAUCCAACAUCGAGGUCGCAACCCAUUUUGUCGAUAUGAACUCUCAAAAAUGAUUACGCUGUUAUCCCUAAGGUAACUUAAUCUUUUGAUCAUAAAUUAUGGAUCAAAUAAACAUAAAUCAAUGAUUUAAUAAUGAAGAGUUUAAUUAUUCUUCAUGUCACCCCAACCUAACAUUAUAAAAAUUAUAUUUAAAAAUAUAAACUAAAAUAAUAUAAAAUCUUUAAAUGUAAAGCUCUAUAGGGUCUUCUCGUCCUAAAAAAAAAUUUAAGCCUUCUAACUCAAAAGUUAAAUUCUAAAAAUUAUUAAGAGACAUUUUGUUUUCUCGUCAAUCCAUUCAUUCAAGCCCCUAAUUAAGAAACUAAUGAUUAUGCUACCUUUGCACGGU